UGAGGAACAUGACCUUCGGCGGGGGAUAGCCGGCCCAACGGCCGGGUAAUACCGCGUACGACCACAUGGGGACAUCCCCGGAUGGUGAAAGCAGCAAUGCGCCGAUGGAGUGCCUCGCGGCCUAUCAGCUAGUUGGUGAGGUAACGGCUCACCAAGGCAACGAUGCGUAGCCGACCUGAGAGGGUGAUCGGCCACAUCGGAACUGAGACACGGUCCAGACUCCGUAGGGACG
Molecule: ribosomal RNA, 232 nt
Filed under: uncultured bacterium
Lineage: Bacteria
Description: partial 16S ribosomal RNA
Rfam family: Bacterial small subunit ribosomal RNA
Source: RNAcentral